UUAAAUUGAAGAGUUUGAUCAUGGCUCAGAUUGAAUGCUGGCGGCAGGCCUAACACAUGCAAGUCGAACGGUAACAGGAAACAGCUUGCUGUUUCGCUGACGAGUGGCGGA
This 111-nucleotide ribosomal RNA is filed under the name Escherichia coli. Its description in RNAcentral is "partial 16S ribosomal RNA". It matches the Rfam family "Bacterial small subunit ribosomal RNA", at positions 1 to 102 of the family's 1533-position model. The record is from RNAcentral. Lineage: Bacteria; Pseudomonadati; Pseudomonadota; Gammaproteobacteria; Enterobacterales; Enterobacteriaceae.